This is a non-coding RNA of Macaca mulatta (Rhesus monkey), 66 nucleotides long. Lineage: Eukaryota; Metazoa; Chordata; Mammalia; Primates; Cercopithecidae. The record is from Rfam.
UUGGCUUGGUCAAAUCAGUGUUCAAACUAUCUCCUGCCGUUUCAAGAGGAUCUAGGGCUCUAGAAG